UGAGCUGAUUUGCAUAUGGAGUCAUUAUCCAACAGCCCAGGCUCCUUUAAGGGCAGCUGCCAGGAGCCUAAGAAGCAUCCUCUCUUCCAGCUCUCAGAGAUGGAGCCAGACACACUCCUGCUAUGGGUGCUGCUGCUCUGGGUUCCAGGCUCCACUGGUGACAUUGUGCUGACCCAGUCUCCAGCUUCUUUGGCUGUGUCUCUAGGGCAGAGGGCCACCAUCUCCUGCAAGGCCAGCCAGAGUGUAGAUAGUUAUGGCAUAAGUUUUAUGCACUGGUACCAACAGAAACCAGGACAGCCACCCAAACUCCUCAUCUAUGGUGCAUCCAACCUAGCAUCUGGGGUCCCUGACAGGUUCAGUGGCAGUGGGUCUGGGACAGAUUUCACCCUCACCAUCAAUCCUGUGGAGGCUGAUGAUGUUGCAACCUAUUACUGUCAGCAAGAUAUGGAGGAUCCGUACACGUUUGGAUCCGGGACCAAGCUGGAGAUAAAACGGGCUGAUGCUGCACCAUCUAUAUCCAUCUUCCCACCAUCCAAGGAGCAGUUAGAAACUGGAGGUGCCUCAAUCGUGUGCUUUGUGAACAACUUCUAUCCCAAAGACAUCAGUGUCAAGUGGAAGAUUGAUGGCAGUGAAAAACAAGAUGGCGUCCUGAACAGUGUGACUGAUCAGGACAGCAAAGACAACACCUACAGCCUGAGCAGUACCCUCACGUUGACCAAGAAUGAGUAUGAACGGCAUACCGUCUAUACCUGUGAGGCCACUCAUAACUCGAAGGCCAUUGUCAAGAGCUUCAACAGGAAUGAGUGUUAGAACCAAAGGUCCUGAGGUGCCACCACCUGCUCCCCAGCUCCACCCAAUCUUCCCUCCGAAGGUCUUGGAGACUUCCCCAUAAGCGAGCUACAACUGUUGCAGUGCUCCAAGCCUCCUCCGAACCUCACCCUCCUCCCUCCCUUUCCUUGGCUUUUAUCAUGCUAAUAUUUGGGGAAGAUAUUGAAUAAAGUGAAUCUUUGCACUUGA
This is a non-coding RNA of Apodemus sylvaticus (European woodmouse), 1017 nucleotides long. The record is from the annotation of a RefSeq genome assembly. Lineage: Eukaryota; Metazoa; Chordata; Mammalia; Rodentia; Muridae.